CACGAACCGUACGACCGUUAUUCGGAAUUACUGGGCUUAAAGGGUUUGUAGGCGGCCUUGUAAGUCAGGUGUGAAAUCCCUCGGCUCAACCGAGGAAUGGCGCUUGAUACUGCACGGCUUGAGGGAGACAGGGGUAAGCGGAACUGAUGGUGGAGCGGUGAAAUGCGUUGAUAUCAUCAGGAACACCGGUGGCGAAAGCGGCUUACUGGGUCUCUUCUGACGCUGAGGAACGAAAGCUAGGGUAGCGAACGGG
RNAcentral lists this ribosomal RNA (253 nucleotides) under uncultured bacterium. Its description in RNAcentral is "partial 16S ribosomal RNA". It matches the Rfam family "Bacterial small subunit ribosomal RNA", at positions 524 to 776 of the family's 1533-position model. The record is from RNAcentral.